AAGUCGUAACAAGGUUUCCGUAGGUGAACCUGCGGAAGGAUCAUUAAUGAAUGAUAUAUAACUAUAAAAUAAUAAUAUAUAUAUGUAAUGUACUAUAUAUUAUUAUAUUAUAUACACACACUUGUGAACUGUUUUAAUUAUAUUCAGCAUUUGCCUGAAAUUGAUGAACUGUGGUUCAACACAUUUUAGGCAAACGUUGAAGUAAACAAACACUCUUUUGUAAUGGUAGACUAAAGGCCUCAUAUAUAAUAAUUAUAUAUACAACUUUUAACAAUGGAUCUCUUGGCUCCU
This 291-nucleotide unclassified non-coding RNA is filed under the name fungal sp. RNAcentral's name for it is "partial internal transcribed spacer region". The stretch from base 1 to 46 matches the Rfam family "Eukaryotic small subunit ribosomal RNA", at positions 1786 to 1831 of the family's 1831-position model. The record is from RNAcentral. Lineage: Eukaryota; Fungi.